Molecule: transfer RNA, 67 nt
Filed under: Sternaspis scutata
Lineage: Eukaryota; Metazoa; Annelida; Polychaeta; Terebellida; Sternaspidae
Also listed under: 2 other names
Description: tRNA-Lys
Source: RNAcentral
UACUAGAGAGCUUGGAUAAGCAUUAGGCUUUUAACCUAAAAAGAAUAAACAAAUUUAUUUCUAGUAA